UCAGACAUGAUGACCAAACCUCUACCGAGAGAGAAGUUUGAGUUUUGCAAAAGGGAAGCAGGCUUGUCAGAGCCUCCUAAAUUGAAGUUUACAUAUUGAUCGCCAGUAUGGCGAAUUCCUCACAUGGUGCGUGAGGGGGAGAUUUGUUGUGUGUGGUCCCGCACCAUGUGAUGGUGGGACCACCACAUUAAUUGGCAAGAGACUUUGUUGUCUCUUAAUUAAAAGCUGGAGCUGCCACUGUAGAGGCAGUAGCAAAAAUUAAAACAAGAGAGAAGAGAAAACCGAGAGAAAAAGAGAAGAAGAGGCAGCAGAGCAGUCCGUGCUCUUCCUUCGAUUCCCAGCUCGUUUACCGUUGGAUCGGGCUGAAAUUUUGACAGCAGCUUCUAGACGCGUUUCACUUCAUUCUGGACGGUUGGAUUGAAGAUUGGUGGCGUGGAAGCUGGCCGUUUUGACAGAAAACGGGGCUGUCAGUUUGUGAGUUUUUUCUCCAAUAAUUCUCUUAUAAUCUUGUUGUAAUCCGAGAAUAAGUUGUUCUUGAUGAUAUUAUGUUGUAUCCCUUAGUUGAAUCUGAGGAAGAACAGUUG
Molecule: long non-coding RNA, 584 nt
Filed under: Populus tremula
Lineage: Eukaryota; Viridiplantae; Streptophyta; Magnoliopsida; Malpighiales; Salicaceae
Description: long non-coding RNA (PTRE_LNC002816)
Source: RNAcentral